Non-coding RNA from Cinara cedri, 1424 nucleotides. Lineage: Eukaryota; Metazoa; Arthropoda; Insecta; Hemiptera; Aphididae. The record is from the annotation of a GenBank genome assembly.
AUUUUUUUGGGGUGCAAGCCAUUUUACUUUUUAGUGUUACACUAAAUUAACUAGGAAGCAUUUGAGAUAAGUUGAAAAAAUUAUAUUUUUGGGGAAGACGCACUCGGGCAAUACCUUAUUUCGGACGCACUCGGAGGAUUGAAAAAGUGUCAUUUCGUGACACAAACCGGCAUUAAAGAGCCGAUCCGAGAGACUCGAUUCACUCGAACGACCCGUUUUUCCCAUUCAUACUCCAGACUAUUACCAUCUGCAAUAUACUGUACCACUGUACAUUUUAUAACACUCUAAGACGAUUCUGUUUUUUGCCGGCAUCGAUAACAUUAUUGCUAGUGUUGCAACCGUUAGUUUUUUUUCCGAUAUUUACGCCCCCAAAUUAAAAUUUGUAUUUCUUACUCGACUUGUCAGCAUAGUUUUAAUUUUGCCAUUAUAAUUUAUUUUCUAUAGGAACAUUGUAUUUCGAUAAUUAUAAUGUCGUUGUGUAGAUAUAAUAAUAUUAUUUAUCCGCUACGUUUUAUAAUAAAUUCAGUAUUUAAAACAUGAAAAUCAACUAAACGGAAUAUCGAAAAUAUUCGUUGGACGGAAACAAAAAAAAAGAAAAGAAGACGUCCUAGGAUAAUGGGGAUGAGUGCAGCCACUGUUAUAGGUAAUUAAACGUAUACCUGUAAGCAACGAUAAACCAUCGCUUACGAAAAAACGAUUCUGAGUGGAGUUCAGUUGAUAGUGAUGCUUUCUUAAAAAUAUAUAUGUUAUAUUAUAGUAAAGUAAUUAAAUAGGCUUUAUACAUUUAUUUUUAAUAAAAUGUGUUUAAUUUUGAACCGAUUUUCCCGAUUUUCCUACGUUUUUCCCAGUUUUCCUAUGCUUUAUCCCGGUUUUUCACAUUUACCGGAAAACACUCGGGAAAAUCGAAAAAUAACCUCCUUGAAGUGUCUCCCCACACAGACUUCCUUUCAGAAAAAAGGCUACACUUAAAAAUCGGAGCAAGUCUUUUAGUAGAAAAGUUGCGCACAGGUACAAAAUAAAUAAUUAAAUAAACAUCUUUGUGAAACCAUAAUUUUCUUCGCUCCACUCAGAAUCUAAAAAAAUACAUGUAUAUUUAUGAAAAAAGACGAUUUUAAUUUUUAGACACCUCAGGACGACGGCUUGUACGGAAUGGCAUACCUCGCACGCCCGAUCGUUUGGCGAGGGUUCACGUCGGUCAUUUUACAAUAACGAUUCCCAACGACAAUGACGCUGUUCAAAUUUAACGGGUAUUGUACGUGAAGUUAACGGACGGCGGGGGACACAGACUCGACAGCCGAACCGGAUUAUAACUAUUGCUCUCGGGAAAACUUCACGGGCUUCUUCUUCUAUUGUAAUAUAAUCGCGAAAUACCCGGCCGAUCCGCUUAAGCCCACCGCGCUGAAGUCGCGAUAACACACGAAUGC